GUCCCUGUUGAUUAGUGGUUAGAUCAUCACGUUGUGGUCGGUUUAGAUGGACUUAGCGACCGUGAAGACACAGGCUCGACUCCUGCCAGGGACA
This is a non-coding RNA of Rhodocollybia butyracea, 94 nucleotides long. The record is from the annotation of a GenBank genome assembly. NCBI's taxonomy places the organism in Eukaryota, Fungi, Basidiomycota, Agaricomycetes, Agaricales, Omphalotaceae.